Molecule: non-coding RNA, 45 nt
Organism: Schistosoma haematobium
Lineage: Eukaryota; Metazoa; Platyhelminthes; Trematoda; Strigeidida; Schistosomatidae
Source: Rfam
AUCUAGCUGAUGAGUCCCAAACAGGACGAAAUCCACGUCCUGGAU